AACUCUGAAUGCCGGAGUACUUUUGUAUGAAAUAGAAUUGUCUCAUUUGAAAUAUUUCAAAGAUUGAUAUAUAAUGUAGAAAAAGUCUCGUUGUCGUGUGCUGUUAUAUUGGCCUCAGUCAUUGCUCUUUCAUCAUAUUGCCCCCAUAUUACACAUUGCCAUCAGUCAUUGCUUUAUCAUUAUAUUGUCCUCAGUGAUUGUUCUGUCAUUAUAUUUCCAAUCAUCAUAUUGCCCUCAGUCAUUGCUGUAUCAUUAUAUUGCCAAUCAUCAUUAUUGCCCUCAGUCAUUGCUCUAUCAUCAUAUUGCCAAUCAUCAUGUUGCCCUCGGUCAUUGCUCUAUCGUUAUAUUGCCAAUCAUCAUAUUGUCCUCAGUCAUUACUCUAUCAUUAUAGAUGUAUUUCAUUAUAUUGCCUUCAGUCAUUGCUCUAUCAUUAUAAUGCACCCAUUCAUUGCUUAAUCAUUGUUUUGCCCUCAGCUAUUUAACACAAUAUAAUCAGCUGAUAACACGAAUAAAUGUUGUUACCUGAUUACUUUAUUCUACUCUUAUCUCUUGACCUUUAAAGCUUAACUGUUGCAUUGAAUAAGAAAAAUGUUCGGAAGAGUCUACCAGUGCCUUUUAUUCGCAGUACUUUUAGUUCUUGGUUGUGCUAGAACACCAGGACGCACACGGGCGAGCUGUACAGAUCGAUACGUAUGGAUAGCCGAUGGGUCUGUAGAUUGCAAAUACAUUGUGACAGAAUCUUUCUGGGGCUUCAUAAAGAUCCUCAACGUUGGUGUGACUAUAUAUUGACGGAUUGCUGUGAAACAUGCACCGAACUUAAGAACCAAGGAGUUAUAGGCUAGAAGAAAGAUCAUUUUGCUGUAAGGAGUUUGAUUUGUGUGUACAGAACGCGAAAAAAAUAAAACAAAAAUGAUUUGUCUAG
Molecule: long non-coding RNA, 922 nt
Organism: Mercenaria mercenaria
Lineage: Eukaryota; Metazoa; Mollusca; Bivalvia; Venerida; Veneridae
Exons: 3
Source: RefSeq, a predicted model, not a curated record